Small nuclear RNA from Cavia aperea (Brazilian guinea pig), 97 nucleotides. Lineage: Eukaryota; Metazoa; Chordata; Mammalia; Rodentia; Caviidae. The record is from Ensembl.
GUGCUUGUUUUGGCAGCACAUAUACUAAAAUUGGAAUGACACAGAGAAGAUUAGCAUGGUUCCUGACCAAAAGGUAAGAGAAAGGAGAACUGUUUUA